RNAcentral lists this ribosomal RNA (1461 nucleotides) under uncultured organism. RNAcentral's name for it is "SSU rRNA". It matches the Rfam family "Bacterial small subunit ribosomal RNA". The record is from RNAcentral.
GACGAACGCUGGCGGCGUGCCUAAUACAUGCAAGUAGAACGCUGAAGAGAGGAGCUUGCUCUUCUUGGAUGAGUUGCGAACGGGUGAGUAACGCGUAGGUAACCUGCCUUGUAGCGGGGGAUAACUAUUGGAAACGAUAGCUAAUACCGCAUAACAAUGGAUGACACAUGUCAUUUAUUUGAAAGGGGCAAUUGCUCCACUACAAGAUGGACCUGCGUUGUAUUAGCUAGUAGGUGAGGUAAUGGCUCACCUAGGCGACGAUACAUAGCCGACCUGAGAGGGUGAUCGGCCACACUGGGACUGAGACACGGCCCAGACUCCUACGGGAGGCAGCAGUAGGGAAUCUUCGGCAAUGGGGGCAACCCUGACCGAGCAACGCCGCGUGAGUGAAGAAGGUUUUCGGAUCGUAAAGCUCUGUUGUAAGUCAAGAACGGGUGUGAGAGUGGAAAGUUCACACUAUGACGGUAGCUUACCAGAAAGGGACGGCUAACUACGUGCCAGCAGCCGCGGUAAUACGUAGGUCCCGAGCGUUGUCCGGAUUUAUUGGGCGUAAAGCGAGCGCAGGCGGUUUGAUAAGUCUGAAGUUAAAGGCUGUGGCUCAACCAUAGUUCGCUUUGGAAACUGUCAAACUUGAGUGCAGAAGGGGAGAGUGGAAUUCCAUGUGUAGCGGUGAAAUGCGUAGAUAUAUGGAGGAACACCGGUGGCGAAAGCGGCUCUCUGGUCUGUAACUGACGCUGAGGCUCGAAAGCGUGGGGAGCGAACAGGAUUAGAUACCCUGGUAGUCCACGCCGUAAACGAUGAGUGCUAGGUGUUGGAUCCUUUCCGGGAUUCAGUGCCGCAGCUAACGCAUUAAGCACUCCGCCUGGGGAGUACGACCGCAAGGUUGAAACUCAAAGGAAUUGACGGGGGCCCGCACAAGCGGUGGAGCAUGUGGUUUAAUUCGAAGCAACGCGAAGAACCUUACCAGGUCUUGACAUCCCGAUGCUAUUUCUAGAGAUAGAAAGUUACUUCGGUACAUCGGUGACAGGUGGUGCAUGGUUGUCGUCAGCUCGUGUCGUGAGAUGUUGGGUUAAGUCCCGCAACGAGCGCAACCCCUAUUGUUAGUUGCCAUCAUUCAGUUGGGCACUCUAGCGAGACUGCCGGUAAUAAACCGGAGGAAGGUGGGGAUGACGUCAAAUCAUCAUGCCCCUUAUGACCUGGGCUACACACGUGCUACAAUGGUUGGUACAACGAGUUGCGAGUCGGUGACGGCGAGCUAAUCUCUUAAAGCCAAUCUCAGUUCGGAUUGUAGGCUGCAACUCGCCUACAUGAAGUCGGAAUCGCUAGUAAUCGCGGAUCAGCACGCCGCGGUGAAUACGUUCCCGGGCCUUGUACACACCGCCCGUCACACCACGAGAGUUUGUAACACCCGAAGUCGGUGAGGUAACCUUUUGGAGCCAGCCGCCUAAGGUGGGACAGAUG